Molecule: ribosomal RNA, 995 nt
Filed under: uncultured bacterium
Lineage: Bacteria
Description: bacterial SSU rRNA
Rfam family: Bacterial small subunit ribosomal RNA
Source: RNAcentral
GGGGAAUAUUGCACAAUGGGGGAAACCCUGAUGCAGCGACGCCGCGUGGAGGAAGAAGGUCUUCGGAUUGUAAACUCCUGUUGUUGGGGAAGAUAAUGACGGUACCCAACAAGGAAGUGACGGCUAACUACGUGCCAGCAGCCGCGGUAAAACGUAGGUCACAAGCGUUGUCCGGAAUUACUGGGUGUAAAGGGAGCGCAGGCGGGAAGACAAGUUGGAAGUGAAAUCUAUGGGCUCAACCCAUAAACUGCUUUCAAAACUGUUUUUCUUGAGUAGUGCAGAGGUAGGCGGAAUUCCCGGUGUAGCGGUGGAAUGCGUAGAUAUCGGGAGGAACACCAGUGGCGAAGGCGGCCUACUGGGCACCAACUGACGCUGAGGCUCGAAAGUGUGGGUAGCAAACAGGAUUAGAUACCCUGGUAGUCCACACCGUAAACGAUGAUUACUAGGUGUUGGAGGAUUGACCCCUUCAGUGCCGCAGUUAACACAAUAAGUAAUCCACCUGGGGAGUACGACCGCAAGGUUGAAACUCAAAGGAAUUGACGGGGGCCCGCACAAGCAGUGGAGUAUGUGGUUUAAUUCGACGCAACGCGAAGAACCUUACCAAGUCUUGACAUCCCUUGACAGGCAUAGAAAUAUGUUUUCUCUUCGGAGCAAGGAGACAGGUGGUGCAUGGUUGUCGUCAGCUCGUGCCGUGAGAUGUUGGGUUAAGUCCCGCAACGAGCGCAACCCUUAUGGUCAGUUACUACGCAAGAGGACUCUGGCCAGACUGCCGUUGACAAAACGGAGGAAGGUGGGGAUGACGUCAAAUCAUCAUGCCCUUUAUGACUUGGGCUACACACGUACUACAAUGGCGUUAAACAAAGAGAAGCAAGACCGCGAGGUGGAGCAAAACUCAGAAACAACGUCCCAGUUCGGACUGCAGGCUGCAACUCGCCUGCACGAAGUCGGAAUUGCUAGUAAUCGUGGAUCAGCAUGCCACGGUGAAUACGUUCCCG